GCAGAUCGGGCGGUCCUUUGAGAUCGUUACCAGCGUCGACCGCGGCCCGCGCAACGCCAAGCGCCAGGGGGUCGGUGUCGUACA
RNAcentral lists this small RNA (84 nucleotides) under Sinorhizobium meliloti 2011. Its description in RNAcentral is "putative ncRNA". Lineage: Bacteria; Pseudomonadati; Pseudomonadota; Alphaproteobacteria; Hyphomicrobiales; Rhizobiaceae. The record is from RNAcentral.